ACCCCACCGGAGGUAACUAAUAAUAAUAAUAAUAACCUCACCGGGGGUAACUAAUAAUAAUAACCCCACUGGGGGUAUUAUUAUUAGUUACCCCCGGUGGGGUUAUUAUUAUCGGUCAGUUACCCCCGGUGGGUUAUUAUUAGUUACCCCCGGUGGGUUAUUAUUAUUAUUAGUUACCCCUGGUGGGGUUAUUAUUAUUAUUAUUUACCCCCGGUGGGGUUAUUAUUAUUAGUUACCCCCGGUGGGGUUAUUAUUAUUAUUAGUUACCCCGGUAGGGUUAUUAUUAGUUACCCCCGGUGGGGUUAUUAUUAUCGGUCAGUU
Pelobates cultripes (western spadefoot toad) is the source of this 321-nucleotide non-coding RNA. NCBI's taxonomy places the organism in Eukaryota, Metazoa, Chordata, Amphibia, Anura, Pelobatidae. The record is from the annotation of a GenBank genome assembly.